AUUGAACGCUGGCGGCAGGCCUAACACAUGCAAGUCGAACGAGUGGCGGACGGGUGAGUAAUGUCUGGGAAUCUGCCUGAUGGAGGGGGAUAACUACUGGAAACGGUAGCUAAUACCGCAUACUAUCAGAUGUGCCCAUAUGGGCUUAGCUGGUAGGUGGGGUAAAGGCUCACCAAGGCGACGAUCCCUAGCUGGUCUGAGAGGAUGACCAGCCACACUGGAACUGAGACACGGCCCAGACUCCUACGGGAGGCAGCAGUGGGGAAUAUUGCACAAUGGGCGCAAGCCUGAUGCAGCCAUGCCGCGUGUAUGAAGAAGGCCUUCGGGUUGUAAAGUACUUUCAGUGGGGAGGCGUUACCGACAGAAGAAGCACCGGCUAACUCCGUGCCAGCAGCCGCGGUAAUAC
RNAcentral lists this ribosomal RNA (406 nucleotides) under uncultured bacterium. RNAcentral describes it as "partial 16S ribosomal RNA". It matches the Rfam family "Bacterial small subunit ribosomal RNA", at positions 30 to 526 of the family's 1533-position model. The record is from RNAcentral.